RNAcentral lists this small nuclear RNA (163 nucleotides) under Propithecus coquereli (Coquerel's sifaka). RNAcentral's name for it is "U1 spliceosomal RNA (ENSPCOG00000000460.1)". It matches the Rfam family "U1 spliceosomal RNA". Rfam says of the family: U1 is a small nuclear RNA (snRNA) component of the spliceosome (involved in pre-mRNA splicing). Its 5' end forms complementary base pairs with the 5' splice junction, thus defining the 5' donor site of an intron. Lineage: Eukaryota; Metazoa; Chordata; Mammalia; Primates; Indriidae. The record is from Rfam by way of RNAcentral.
AUACUUACCUGGCAGGGGAAAUACCAUGAUCGUGAAGGUGGUCCUUGCAGGGUCAGGCUUAUCCAUUACACUUCAGGUGUGCUGACAUCUGCAAUUUCCUCAAAUGUGGGAAACUCAAUUUCAUAAUUUGUGGUCUGGGGGACUGUGUUCAUGCUAUCCCCUG